RNAcentral lists this transfer RNA (85 nucleotides) under Felis catus (domestic cat). It matches the Rfam family "tRNA". Rfam says of the family: Transfer RNA (tRNA) molecules are approximately 80 nucleotides in length. Their secondary structure includes four short double-helical elements and three loops (D, anti-codon, and T loops). Lineage: Eukaryota; Metazoa; Chordata; Mammalia; Carnivora; Felidae. The record is from Rfam by way of RNAcentral.
GCCGGGGUGGCUCAGUUGGUUGAGCAUCUGACUUCAGCUCAGGUCAUGAACUCAUGGCUCGUGAGUUCGAGCCCCGCACUGGGCU